Molecule: ribosomal RNA, 492 nt
Filed under: uncultured bacterium
Lineage: Bacteria
Description: partial 16S ribosomal RNA
Rfam family: Bacterial small subunit ribosomal RNA
Source: RNAcentral
AGUGAACGCUGGCGGUAGGCCUAACACAUGCAAGUCGAACGGCAGCACAGUAAGAGCUUGCUCUUACGGGUGGCGAGUGGCGGACGGGUGACGAAUACAUCGGAAUCUACUUUUUCGUGGGGGUUAACGUAGGGAAACUUACGCUAAUACCGCAUACGACCUACGGGUGAAAGCAGGGGAUCUUCGGACCUUGCGCGAUUGAAUGCGCCGAUGUCGGAUUAGCUAGUUGGCGGGGUAAAGGCCCACCAAGGCGACGAUCCGUAGCUGGUCUGAGAGGAUGAUCAGCCACACUGGAACUGAGACACGGUCCAGACUCCUACGGGAGGCAGCAGUGGGGAAUAUUGGACAAUGGGCGCAAGCCUGAUCCAGCCAUACCGCGUGGGUGAAGAAGGCCUUCGGGUUGUAAAGCCCUUUUGUUGGGUAAGAAAAGCAGCAGGUUAAUACCCCGCUGUUCUGACGGUACCCAAAGAAUAAGCACCGGCUAACUUCGUG